Long non-coding RNA from Ailuropoda melanoleuca (giant panda), 630 nucleotides. RefSeq lists it as uncharacterized. Lineage: Eukaryota; Metazoa; Chordata; Mammalia; Carnivora; Ursidae. The record is from RefSeq and is a predicted model, not a curated record. The transcript has 3 exons.
UGCUCCCUCUACUCUCGCGAGACCGGGCUCUUCGGGCAGCGGGAACGCGGGAGCUUUCCGGUCUGCGGGCGCUUUGGCUCAGGGCUAUGGGGCUGUUUUAGGUCCUGCGCAAAUUUUUAACAUAUUUUAAGUAGUUAACCGAAUUAUUGCUUUCGCCCGUUGUGAAAGGCAGACUGAGCCUGGCAUGAAAUUAUGCAGCCCUGGGUUACAUGACCCUAGCACUAGUUUCAUUUGGUUUUCUCGUACUGUUCUUUAAAUGAAAAGUUGAAGUAGACACAUUUCCAAAUUCAAAAUGACUCCGGGAUCCCUGGCCUCAGAGAUCUGGGGUGGUUAUGGAAUAUGGGUGAAGCGUGCUUGCUUACAGCCACAUUUCUGCAGGUUGUGCUCUCACUGUAAAUCCCUGAGCUGAAAGGAGAGGAGACUGGGACUCUUCGGAGCUCCCCGAAGUGCCCGCACCCUCUACUUGUCCCUGACACCUUUCCGCGCUAAAUACAUGUUUGGAUAAAGGAAGGGACAAAGUAGGAUUUUACCUUCCUCUCUCAACCAGACACCACAGAUGGAGAUCUGGGAAAGAUGACUUUGAGAUAGAGACAGCCAGCGCGAGAGGGAACACAAGCAGGGGGAGUGGGG